GAUGGAACGCAGCGAAAUGCGAUACUUGGUGUGAAUUGCAGAAUCCCGUGAACCAUCGAGUCUUUGAACGCAAGUUGCGCCUCAAGCCAUUAGGUUGAGGGCACGUCUGCCUGGGCGUCACAUAUCGUUGCCUGAUGCCAGUUUCCUCGUGAUGGGUGACUGUGCAGGGCGAAUGAUGGCUUCCCGUGAGCAUUGUUGCCUCAUGGUUGGUUGAAAAUUGAGUCCUUGGUAGGGAGCGCCGUGAUAGAUGGUGGUUGAGUGACGAACGAGACCCAAUCAUGUGAGACCCCUACCGAAUUUGGCCUUCAUGACCCACAUGCGUCUUUGGAACGCUCAUGACGAGACCUCAGGUCAGGCGGGGCUACCCGCUGAGUUUAAGCAUAUCAAUAAGCGGAGGA
Molecule: unclassified non-coding RNA, 398 nt
Filed under: soil metagenome
Description: partial contains 5.8S ribosomal RNA, internal transcribed spacer 2, and large subunit ribosomal RNA
Rfam family: 5.8S ribosomal RNA (bases 4-120)
Source: RNAcentral